Molecule: non-coding RNA, 87 nt
Organism: Candidatus Desantisbacteria bacterium CG1_02_38_46
Lineage: Bacteria; Candidatus Desantisiibacteriota
Source: Rfam
GGAGAGGUGGCCGAGUGGCUGAUGGCGCUGGUCUUGAAAACCAGAAUCGUCGUAAGACGGUCGUGAGUUCAAAUCUCACCCUCUCCG